AGGGGAUGACUUGUGGAUAGGGGUGAAAGGCUAAUCAAGCCUGGUGAUAGCUGGUUCUCCCCGAAAGCUAUUUAGGUAGCGCCUCGGACGAAUACCAUAGGGGGUAGAGCACUGUUUCGGCUAGGGGGUCAUCCCGACUUACCAAACCGAUGCAAACUCCGAAUACCUAUGAGUACUAUCCGGGAGACAGACUGCGGGUGCUAACGUCCGUAGUCAAGAGGAAAACAAUCCAGACCGCCAGCUAAGGCCCCAAAAUCAUAGUUAAGUGGGAAACGAUGUGGGAAGGCAUAGACAGCUAGGAGGUUGGCUUAGAAGCAGCCACCCUUUAAAGAAAGCGUA
RNAcentral lists this ribosomal RNA (339 nucleotides) under Acinetobacter baumannii. Its description in RNAcentral is "partial 23S ribosomal RNA". It matches the Rfam family "Bacterial large subunit ribosomal RNA", at positions 799 to 1136 of the family's 2925-position model. The record is from RNAcentral. Lineage: Bacteria; Pseudomonadati; Pseudomonadota; Gammaproteobacteria; Moraxellales; Moraxellaceae.